AUUGAACGCUGGCGGCAGGCUUAACACAUGCAAGUCGAGCGGGGGAAGGUAGCUUGCUACUGGACCUAGCGGCGGACGGGUGAGUAAUGCUUAGGAAUCUGCCUAUUAGUGGGGGACAACAUCUCGAAAGGGAUGCUAAUACCGCAUACGUCCUACGGGAGAAAGCAGGGGAUCUUCGGACCUUGCGCUAAUAGAUGAGCCUAAGUCGGAUUAGCUAGUUGGUGGGGUAAAGGCCUACCAAGGCGACGAUCUGUAGCGGGUCUGAGAGGAUGACCCGCCACAAUGGGACUGAGACACGGCCCAGACUCCUACGGGAGGCAGCAGUGGGGAAUAUUGGACAAUGGGGGGAACCCUGAUCCAGCCAUGCCGCGUGUGUGAAGAAGGCCUUAUGGUUGUAAAGCACUUUAAGCGAGGAGGAGGCUACUUUAGUUAAUACCUAGAGAUAGUGGACGUUACUCGCAGAAUAAGCACCGGCUAACUCUGUGCCAGCCGCCGCCGUAA
This 501-nucleotide ribosomal RNA is filed under the name uncultured bacterium. RNAcentral's name for it is "partial 16S ribosomal RNA". It matches the Rfam family "Bacterial small subunit ribosomal RNA", at positions 30 to 523 of the family's 1533-position model. The record is from RNAcentral.